GCCUGUUUUCUUACCUGCAAAAUGUGAGGCAAUGAGAAUGCUAACCUCACAGAAUUGCUAUGAGAGCUACCGUUCAUUGAGGGAUUACCAAGUACCGGGUGCUGGCUAACAACUUCUAGUCAUUGUCUUUGUUUUUUACAACUUUGUGAAGUAUUACUGUUGGAAGAUGCAAUGAGGUAAUGCAGGUAAAGCGAUCAGCAUAGUGCCAGCACAUAACAAUGUGAACUACUUUUAUUAUUAUUACUAAUACUUUGUGGGGUAGUCCCCAGCAAACUGCACAAUUCACAGCCUUUUCCAGCCUAUGAAUCGGGAUAUCUCUUCCUAGCUGGCAGAAUCAUCCUGAUGCUUGGAGAUUUCCACUUAAGAGGAACACGCACUACCAGCUUCAUCGUCAGGACCCAGGUGGGCAAGUUGACGGUGGUCAGGCUGCAGCAGACACUUUUAGUUGCAUGUAAAUUAUCUAGGUGCCCUUUCCUAAUUAGAGAAGAAAGUGAGUUUCUGCUAUUUUAAAAAUUCUUCCCUGUAUGGGAAUUUUUCUUUCAUGCUAUAUUCUCCUCUUGGUGUCUUGUCUAAUUUUCCUUUUCUCCCCCCAUCUAUUGUUCAACUGAGGUGUGAAAGAAGUUGAAAUCCACCUGUAAACCCGGGGGUGCCACAUCCCUUCAUUUAUUCACUCACUGAUUCACUCAACAAACAUUCACUGAGGAUUACUCUGUAAAUGGCCACGUACUGGGUGCUGAGGACAAAAAAGGUGAAGGCCACUGCCAUUCAUGUGGCUACACUGUUCUGUCCCCUUUCGGUCCCUGCCCUUGAAAGUUCCCAAUUCUUGCUGACCUCCUGGAAAAGCCUAGAGAAAUACCAUCAAAUAACGGAGAGAUAAUUUCCCUUCAAGACUUUCACUAGGUCAGUUGUUCUAACCUUUUUAGGAGGCAAAAGGAAUAGAGAGGGGGAGGCAGCCAGCCAGGAUUAUUUGCGGCAUUUUAGAUAGGAAAGCUGAGUUCCAGAGAGGGGAGGGAAGGCAAGAGAGGGAAAGGAACUCAAUUAUUUCAUAGAGUCAGGCCUUGUGCCUUUUUAUUCUCAUACAUGCCUUGUGAGGUGGGUAUUUUUAUCAUCAUUUUACAUGGGCAAAAACUGACACUUAGGUUAAGGAGCUCAUCCAAGUCACCCAAUCUAUAGGUGGCAGAGCUGGGCUUAAAACACAGGUGUGAUCUUGGAACUAAGCUCUCAGCCUGCUGACUCAGCAACUACACUGCAGGUCAGUAGUGGAUUUGGGAACCUCCUGCUUCCCAGUCCUCUGCCUGGUCUUCUAGGCCAACAGUUUUACAACUUGGACACGCAUCAGAAUCACCUGGAGGGCCUGUGAAAACACAUAACGCUGAGCCAUACCCCCAGUUUCUGAUUCAGUAGGUCUAGGGUGGGGCUGAGAAUUUGCAUUUUUAACUAGUUCCCAGGUGAUGAUGAUGAUGAUGAUGGUCCACGGACCACAGUUUGAGAACACUGUUCUAGGUGUUCUCUUUCAAAAUAAUGACUCCCUCUCUUCCCCUUAACGACUCCAAAGGUAACAUAGGUUUGUAAAAUACAACAAAUAUAUAACAUGUAGAACCUACAGAAAAAUAGGAAGAAUGGAAUUCAUCCACAUUCUUCUGCUCAGAAAUAACCACUCUUAACAGUUUGGCACAUCUCCUCUGUCUUCUUUUCAGAGGCUAAGCACAGAGGAAGCGGGGUGGCCUAUGGCUGCUCGGCUAAGACCCGGUUAAGAUCCCAGUGCUUCCGUGAGACCUUGGGCAAGCCUGAACCAGGUCUGGGUCCCCUCUUCGGCAAAACUGCAUUUACACUCCCAUCCCGCAUUAGUUUGUUGGGAGGGUUUAAAGAAGAGCGUGUAUUUAUCAAGCACUCGACACAAUGUCAGAUGCGGAGUCAGCGCUCCAUAAAUGUUGGCUGUCAUUUUUGUUCUAACGUAAGAGAAAGCUGGAUGAUCCCAUCUGGGUUUCAGCCCCGUUUUCCCUCUUCACUCCUCCGGUGGGUCAGUGGGAGCUCUGCCGACCGCCUGGCUGCGGCCACUCACUGCUGGGACUGCGCAGCCUGCCCGCUCCCAGCAGCUGGCGGAGCCGCAGGACCCCCGCGCCGCCCGGGCCGCCGCCGUUAGGGUUGGCUCAAGCCUCUCGGCCCAGUCCGCCAGUUUUACAGCCCGAACUCAAAGAGGGCUUUUAACUUUUCAUUCAGCAGCAGCGUAGCUCCGACUUUUAAUAACACACCUCGUGCACGACAAAAAUUUGCUCCUGGCAAUCAUGGUUUCGACCACAAAACCACAGCGGGGAGGCGUUCCUGAUUAACUCUUUCAGCGCUCCAGGCAGUCUGGAGCCGGCGCUCCUGGAGAUCAGAUAGAACGGCGGCGGCGGCCGCGGUCAGGACUGCGACGGUUCUAGUCCCCUUCCCCCAACCGAGUCGCGUCUCUGCGAGGCUGAGGGGAGACUCCAGGCGGCAGCGGUGGGGCCCAGAGAGCAGGGAGCGAGGCCGCGGGGGACGCUCCUGCCUCGGUGCCUUAGACCUACUGUGUGCCAAGCCCCUUUGCGGCGAAACUCUCCCUUCCUGGGCUGUCAACGGGGCCUGCCUGGAGCGCCGGCCGGCCCUCCAGAGGGGAACAACAGGUCACCGGGGAGGUCGCCUGCGGCUCCAGCUCCCCGGGGGCCCCGACGCACCUUCAGGAAAACCCGACGCUGGGCAGCUCGCGGGCGCCGGCUGUUUUCCUGCGAGACCCAGGCGGUCGGCGGCGACUUCCGGCGCCCUCGGCCGCAGCCCAGGAUCCCUUGCGCCCUGCGGUAGCCCGGGGCUGCCCAGGGCUGCGGGCUCCAGGCACCCAGAGCGCUGCGACCACAUGAAAGGCCCGGCGCUCAGCACCCGCCAGCCACCUCCAGCUGGUUUCUAACUACACCGCCGGGGCCUCCAUGCUUCUCAGAGACCAGCCUUCGAAGUGCCGCCUUACACCCGGGGCCUGGCCACCGGGCGGGCGCGGAUGGAGCUCUGGUCCACAUUUGGGAGCUCACAGUUGUUCCUGCCAGAUGUGGAAGCUGAGACUUAAAGAAGCUAUGAAACUUGAUCAGGUCAUGCAGCGCCAGAGGACCCAAGGUGGGAUCUCAACCCAGACUGUUUGGCUCCAAAGCUGAACUGCUACAUUACGUUGCUUCAGCAAACAGUCAUUCAGGUAACUUGGUGAGGACGUGCUCAGUUCAAGUAACUAUGCCACAGUCUGGGGAGAGAAAUGAAUAAGGUAUAUUCCUGUACACAAGCCCACUGGGGAAACCUUGAUGAAACCCUUCUACUCGAAAACCUUUCCUCUGCUUGCAACUAGAUGUUUGGAAACAUUGUUUUGUUGUCAAAUUUCACAAAAUAUCUUGUGUUGGAGGAGUCUGUUAGACUUCUCUAAUUUCACCCUUCAGGUGAUGCAGAAGUCUCUACUGCCGACUACCUGCCCUCACACACACAUACACAGAAGGUGGAGCACAUCUAGCUUGGAUUUUAGAGCCAGUCUACGUGAGUCUGUAUCCUGGCUCAACCAUUCACUACUUGUGUGACCUUGGGCAAGUCCUUUGAGCUCUCUGAGUCUCAGUUUCUUCAUCUGUAAAAUAGGCAUAAUUUCACCGUUGUGAGGUUUUUGCAAAUAAGGUAACACACUGCAAAACAUUCAGCACCACUCUGGUGUAUAGUUAAGACCUGAUAAGUGUCAGCCAUUGUCUUUUAUCAUUAGGGAUGGGCAUCUCUUGCCACCCCAGUGAAACAGUUCCUUGUCCUGUCUCUUUCUUUGCUUCUGCCUCCCGGGGCACUCAGCCCAAGGCAAAUGUGCCUGAAGAUGGGGGUUAGUCAUCAGGUUCCCCUGCCUCAGAGGAUGAGAGCAUGACUGCUGCUCUCUGCCCAGUCUCCUAAGAAAUCUGAUUCAUGCCUUGCCAGUACUCUAUGAAUAUGCAUACUUCACCUGCAGCCCUGUCUCCUUUCACAAUGAGCUCAGUCAUUUGUACCUCCUGGGUCAUGUGCAGACAUCCUCAGUAUUACCCACUGAUGGGUGUUGGAGAAACUGCUAAGAAGAUGAGUCUUGAUAGGCAGGUGACAGUGACUUGACUCUCUAGUCCAUGGCUUUGCCUGUUUCGCCAUAUUUCAAAACUGCCAGGGGCUUCUGAAUUGACUGAUGACCCAACAUAGGGUCACAGUAUUUCAUUUGGCUGCUCUUAGACUGAAGUGACAACUUGGGAUAGCCCCAUCUGAAUGGGACCAGUUUGGGAGCCUUUUGUUUCACCCUCUUUCUCUCUCCAGUCUUUGUGGGUUCCCUGAAACGUGUGAGGUGGUUUGGGGAUGUUGAAAGUUAAGCCCCUCAAAGAGAAGACUUAUGCCUUAGAUUAGUGUUAGUGAUUACAAGCUCCGGGUUUUGAGACUGAUCUGGGUUUGAAACCUGGCUCAGCUUUUUGUUAGCUGUGACCCUAAGCUUCAUAACUUGUUUCUCUGAGUCUGUUUCCUUAUCUAUAAAUGGGAUUAAUAAUAGUAUUUAUUUCAUAGGAUGGUCGUAAGGAUUAAAUGCAUGUAAAGCACUUAAUAUAGUGCCUGGCACAAAGUAAGUGCCCCAUAGCUGUUACCAAUAUUAGGCAGCAGGAGAGACAGCACAGGACCAAGGGGCAAGAGAUCAAGGUUUGAGUUCCAGCUCUGCUGCUUGCUGGCUGUGUGACCUCAGGCAAGUCAUCUUCCUUCCCUGAGCCAGUUUCUCCAACUGUGAAAUGAAUGGUUUGAGUUUGAAGGUCACUCAGGUUCUUUCCAACUGUCUGAGAUCUGUGACUUUGAAGGUGACAAAAAAAGAAAACACAGGAAAAAAUAAUUAGUAGCAGAUGCCUUUAUCAGCCAAGAUAACAUUUCAUAAACCCCCGGGCCUCGACACCAUCUUCAAAAGCCACCCCAUCCCGCAGCUUCUAGGCAGAACCUUCUUGACCAGAUAGGGUGAAUGAACUGUUUGCAAGACUUUCUGGAGCCACAAGGAGGCCUCAGGGAAGGUGUAAGGCUAAAAAGCGAAGCCUGCAUCACAAAGGGAGCAGGCCUGAGAAAACCAGCUAACCCCAAACAUCAGACCUGGGGGAUUCUGCCUUUUGGUGCCUUGGGCGAGAAUCAUCCUCCACUUGACCAGAAUGGAUUAGUUUAUGGUAAGGGAGGGAUGUUGUCUCUAGAGCCUGGGGAUGUCCUGAUCUGUUGUAAAACAGGCCCCACCUGGGAAAUAGAACAUUUUCUUUUUUGGGGCCUAGUGACCUCUGACACCCCCACCCCCUUCUUCCUGGCCCACUGUGCAGUCUGAGUCACACCCAGCAGGAGACCAAUGCUGGGAAUGGAGGAGGCAUUCAGCAUCCCCCUUACCCACAAGAGUCUCCACCGAGUUAUUCUUAAGCCCUGCUUGAACCCUGAGGGGGAUGACAUGGGCAGGAUUUACAGAAAAUAAAAAAACAAUCAGUUUCAACUCGUUCUACCAGUUUUUGCCCCUUACAGUACAAAGUCUCUUAACCAAUCUUAAUGUAACAAAUUUCCCUUUACAGAGACAAUGGGCUUUAGAGGAGUUUAGUGAUGUUACUAACAAACAUAAGUACCUUGUACUAACCUCCUGGUGCCCAAGUGUUUGAGGUGAGAAAAACUGAAACAUGAAAAGCCCAGAGAGGUAAAGUGACUGGCUCAAGGUAAGUGGUGGAGUUGGUAUUUGAACCCAGAUCCCCUGUUACUUCAGAACCUCAGCUACCGCUGUGACUUUGGGUGCAAACCUGUCUGAAGCCUGUUGGUGAAGCUCUGCCCAGCUAUGAAGAGGCACAGAUCUGCCUGCCUCCCUUGGAAGGCUCAGACUCUUUUUCUGGAAGGCCUACCUUCUCAUCCUUUGGCAGUUGGGGGAACUGAAGCACAGUGAGGGAGAUAAGCGUGCCAUACAAUGAGAGGACAGAGCUCAGCGCUCUUCACUCAUGUGCCUGUGGGAAAGAGCCAGUUCUAGGGGUGGGGAUCGCGAAGGAGCACCCUACUUCCCUGUCCUUGUCACGUCCCAUGGCCAGUAGCCAUGUACUUUUUCCUCCUUUUUCUCUUGCCCAGCAAAUACAGGCUCCAGCUGCAGCCACUUUGAAGAUAAAGUUUCCUCCAUAGAAAUUCUGCAAUACAGAUGUCCUUCCGCGGUCCCAGUUCAGUCCUGCACCAGUUCCUUUUCCCACUGGGAAAUUUCUUUCCUCUUCCUACUUCCAUGCAACUGCGAGGCAAGGCUCAAGCCCACUUCCUUCUCCUUUUCCUGUGCCUCCCUGUGGAGGGAGCUCCCUCUUCUUCACAGCUCCAGGCUCUUCCCUACUCUGGCCCAACCUUAUGGGCAUUUUGCUCCAUAACUCUCCUCGAUCUGAACUGCUUCUGAUUUCUCUCAAGUCAUGUCGGGGAAUCUCACAAAUGCAUUCUGAGAAAUACAAGAAUGCCUGAGAUGUUCCCGGCAGAAAAGAUUCCAGGAUCAAAACAUUUGGGAAAAGCUUCACAUCUCUCCUUAGAAAUGAACAAGGCAUAGUCAUCAAGCAUCUGAAAAGUCCUGCAGUCAGGAAACCUACCUUGUUUGUUUUUUAACCCAGUAUUUCUCAAACUAAGAUGGCCAUGAUUUCAUCUCCUCCAUCCCCACUGACUCCUAUAACAACCUGUAGAACCAGUGAUCCACUGUGGAACACACUUUGGGAAACACUGUCCCCAGCCCUCCAAGAAGGCAUAGAGUUGACCUUGCCUUCAUUGAUUUAAACCCUUCCUGUUUCUCUGGGCUAUUUACUUAUUAUCUCACAUACAAAAUAAUCUAAGGUGAUGUCUGCCCAAUUGGGUUUUUAGGAAAGACAUACCCAAUGGGAAUGAAGAUUUUCUUAGCAGGAUUUGAUGAGCCCAUUACUAGAAAAAAAAUCAAGGAUUUCCCAGACUUUCAGGGUGAGGAGAGAAUUUGAUACAAGCAGCAGAGGCUGGGCGUAGUGACCCAUGCCUAGCACUUUGGUAGGCCAAGGAGGGAGGAUUGCUUGAACCCAGGAAUCCAAGACCAGCCUGGGCAACAUAGUAAGAUCCCAUCUCAAUUUUUUAAAGAAGGAUUUAUCAAACUUGUUUCCUAGUCAACGGAUAAAGCCAGAGAGGUAAUGGCCAGAAACCCAAAAUCUAGAGAGUACCAGAUAAAUACUUUUUGGGUGAAUGAAUGAAUGAGCAGGCUAUUGAUCACAAAGUUGGCAGACAUUGUGAAUGAAUGGAUGAAUUAAUAAACAAUCAAAUAACUGGUCUCCAGGCCUCCAGACUUUCUGAACUUCAUUGUAUCUACCUGCUGUGGCCACAUAUAUAUCUCCUCAAAACCCAGAUCUCAUCAGUCCACUCUUCUGUUCCCUGGCUGGCUCCCUGUUGCCUUCAGGAUAAAGUCUACAUGCCUUUGUCCUGGCAUUGAAAACUCUGCAAAACAAAGCUCCAACCUAGCUUUCCAUCCUUCUUUCUCUUCCCCAUUGGGUACCCCUUACUCUAGUCACACCAGUCCCCAAUUCACUUUAUCCGUCUCCUUUUCUUUCUCAAGCUAUUCUCUAUACCUCACCUUUUCUCCCCUGCCUCCAUUGUUGCUUAUUCAACCCUAGCAGUGCUUUCAGGCUCAGCUCAAACCUUAUCACCCAUGUUAAAUGAAAGAAGCCAGACACAAGAAGGGGACAUUCUGAAUGAUUCCAUUUAUAUGAAGGUUAAGAACAGGCAAAACUAUUGUGGGGAAAAAACAGAACUGUGGUUGCCUUUGGGGAGUGAGGAUUGAUUAGAAGGGGUUUUGGGGGUAUGAAAAUGUUCUUGAUCUUCAUUCCAGUGGUAAUUUCAUGGGUGAAUACAUUUGCCAAAAUUCACUGAAUUGUACACUAAAGAUCUGCAUUUCUCUGUAUUGUCAAUUUAAUCUAAAAAUAAAAAUCUUACCACCCAGAUCUCCCUGGCAAGAAUU
This 7963-nucleotide long non-coding RNA is filed under the name Homo sapiens (human). RNAcentral's name for it is "HSALNT0003292". The record is from RNAcentral. Lineage: Eukaryota; Metazoa; Chordata; Mammalia; Primates; Hominidae.